This 285-nucleotide ribosomal RNA is filed under the name uncultured bacterium. RNAcentral's name for it is "partial 16S ribosomal RNA". It matches the Rfam family "Bacterial small subunit ribosomal RNA", at positions 774 to 1067 of the family's 1533-position model. The record is from RNAcentral.
AGGAUUAGAUACCCUGGUAGUCCACGCCGUAAACGAUGAGUACUAGAUGUUAAAUUGUUUUUUAGUGUCACAGCUAACGCUUUAAGUACUCCGCCUGGGUAGUACGCUCGCAAGAGUAAAACUCAAAGGAAUUGACGGGGACCCGCACAAGCGGUGGAGCAUGUUGUUUAAUUCGAAGCAACCCGAAAAACCUUACCAAGAUUUGACAUACAGUGCGACGGUAUAAAAAUAUACUAGAGGUUAACACUGAUACAGGUGGUGCAUGGUUGUCGUCAGCUCGUGUCG